GAGUUUGAUCCUGGCUCAGGAUGAACGCUAGCUACAGGCUUAACACAUGCAAGUCGAGGGGCAGCAUGACGAUAGCUUGCUAUUGUUGAUGGCGACCGGCGCACGGGUGAGUAACGCGUAUCCAACCUUCCCAUAGCUAGGGAAUAACCUUGCGAAAGUAAGACUAAUGCCCUAUAACAUUCUUUGCAGACAUCUAAAGAGAAUUAAAGAUUUAUCGGCUAUGGAUGGGGAUGCGUCUGAUUAGGUUGUUGGCGGGGUAACGGCCCACCAAGCCCACGAUCAGUAGGGGUUCUGAGAGGAAGGUCCCCCACAUUGGAACUGAGACACGGUCCAAACUCCUACGGGAGGCAGCAGUGAGGAAUAUUGGUCAAUGGACGAAAGUCUGAACCAGCCAAGUAGCGUGCAGGACGACGGCCCUAUGGGUUGUAAACUGCUUUUAUAUGGGAAUAAAGUGAGCGACGUGUCGUCUUUUGUAGGUACCAUAUGAAUAAGGACCGGCUAAUUCCGUGCCAGCAGCCGCGGUAAUACGGAAGGUCCAGGCGUUAUCCGGAUUUAUUGGGUUUAAAGGGAGCGUACGCCGUUUUUUAAGCGUGUGUGAAAUACUGUCGCUCACGACAGAGGGUGCAGCGCGAACUGGGAGGACUUGAGUGCGCGGAAUGUAGGCGGAAUUCGUCGUGUAGCGGUGAAAUGCUUAGAUAUGACGAAGAACUCCGAUUGCGAAGGCAGCUUACAGUAGCGUAACUGACGCUGAAGCUCGAAAGUGCGGGUAUCGAACAGGAUUAGAUACCCUGGUAGUCCGCACGGUAAACGAUGGAUGCUCGCUGUGUGCUUUUGGGUACGCGGCCAAGCGAAAGCGUUAAGCAUCCCACCCGGGGAGUACGCCGGCAACGGUGAAACUCAAAGGAAUUGACGGGGGCCCGCACAAGCGGAGGAACAUGUGGUUUAAUUCGAUGAUACGCGAGGAACCUUACCCGGGCUUGAAUUGCAGAGGAAGGAUUUAGAGAUAAUGACGCCCUUCGGGGCCUCUGUGAAGGUGCUGCAUGGUUGUCGUCAGCUCGUGCCGUGAGGUGUCGGCUUAAGUGCCAUAACGAGCGCAACCCCUCUCCGUAGUUGCCAUCAGGUAGUGCUGGGCACUCUGCGGACACUGCCGCCGUAAGGUGUGAGGAAGGUGGGGAUGACGUCAAAUCAGCACGGCCCUUACGUCCGGGGCUACACACGUGUUACAAUGGGUCAUACAGAGUGUUGUGCGUAUGCAAAUACGUUCUAAUCAUUAAAAUGAUCCUCAGUUCGGAUUGGGGUCUGCAACCCGACCCCAUGAAGCUGGAUUCGCUAGUAAUCGCGCAUCAGCCAUGGCGCGGUGAAUACGUUCCCGGGCCUUGUACACACCGCCCGUC
This 1394-nucleotide ribosomal RNA is filed under the name uncultured bacterium. Its description in RNAcentral is "bacterial SSU rRNA". It matches the Rfam family "Bacterial small subunit ribosomal RNA". The record is from RNAcentral.